Molecule: long non-coding RNA, 13990 nt
Filed under: Medicago truncatula (barrel medic)
Lineage: Eukaryota; Viridiplantae; Streptophyta; Magnoliopsida; Fabales; Fabaceae
Description: long non-coding RNA (MTRU_LNC000785)
Source: RNAcentral
UCGACCAACCUACUCAUAUCUCUCUCUUGAACUGUAAGUAAGAUUAUUUUAAUUGCCAAAUGCUAAGUUGUCAAGUUAUUAUUAUUAAUAUUAUCCAACAUCACAAAACCCAAUCUCAUAACGGUAGUUUGCACGUUUCAUUCAUCAAUUGAUUCCAUAGUUUUGUGUUACAAGACGACAUUGAUCAGUUGCUAAACCCUAUGCAACGAGCAAAAUUAACUACUAUUAACUACUCCUAUUUUAAUUUUAAUCCUAUGAAAUUCACCAAAGGGACAUAUCUAUAGGCAAAUCAAAUAAAGGUCAAUUUAAGUCAGAAUUGUACUUUGAUUCAAAAAAAUAAAUAACGUAGUCAGAAUAGUACUACUACUAGUAGUAGGUUUAUUUUGCAAAAUAGGACCACAUGCAUGCAACUGGGUUUCAGACCCUACUAAUAACAAAACAUCAAACACAUUAAUUAUGUUGAAUUUAGCAAGAGAAAAAGAAUCUUACAUAAUUUUGUGUGCAAAUAAAAUUACAACAAUUAAUCAUUAUAAUUUUGAUUUUUGAAUGUUUGAUUCUCUGUGUGUAUCUCAUUUUUUAAAUCGAGCACAAAUAUUUAAAGUAUUUUUUUUUUAGAAAAAUUUGUUCAUUUGAUACUGAAGUAACUGCUUCUUGAUACUAUAUAAGACAAAACCGAUAUUUAGUGUACAAAAUAUAUGCAUUGGACAAAUAUAGCCGUUUGGGAAGUGUUUAAAAAAAAAUUCUAUGGCCAAAUAAAGAAACGUGAUUGUUUUGGUUUGAAGGUGGAGAGAGUUCAAAGUGAUUUUGCUAUGUUUGAAUUAAUGUUUUUGUUGAUUGUAAUUGAUUUUGACUUACAUUUACUUCUAGCUCUUUUUUGACUACUACAUCUAACUUAAAAGUUAUAAUUUAAAGUUUUCGAUUCCAAACAUAAUUUUUAGUCUCAUAAAUUUCUCAACUCAUUAAUUUAUACUUGAAAAUAUUUAAACAUAAGUUUAAAAGGGAUACACUAUCGGUGUUAAUCAACUCUGCAACCAAUGAGAAUCCACAAUUUGUUUUACAAAAAUAAACGAUAUUAAUUCAUUCAUGUUGAUAGAAUACGUCGAUACAACACAUAUUCAAAGUUGUUAAAAACAAAAAGAAUGAACUUGCGAACAAACUCACAGCAUCCAUGUUAAUAACAUAAAACGGCAAUGUAACUACGCCAACAAAUAUGACUAUAUAUAUUUAAGUCUCUGGAAUAUUCAUGUAUCUGGAUCUACAACUUUGAUGGCGCCAAAGUCAUUGAUUGGAUCUGCACCUGCUCAAUGACGGAAAAUAAAAACACAUUACAUAAAGACGAGAAAUAAAAAAACAAACAUGGUCGUGUUAAGACGACGAAAUCACCAUAACAAACAAAAACAUAAAAUAAAAAUAUGUAAAAAUCACUUAUUUAAUUAAAAAAUAAGAAAAUCAAUUCGAAUGAAUGAUUUUAAAUCAAAAUUAACCAUAAAUCAUUCUUCUUUAAUAGAUAAGAAGAAGAAAGGUGGUGAUGGCUAUAAAAAGAAGAGAAGGGAGAACAAAAUAUAUGUUUCCUGCUUUUUAGAGAUUCCACAAUUUUUACAUGUCAUCCUACUCUAGUAUGUUAAUCUUAUCUUACAAUAAAUGCAAUAAAGUGCAAAAUAAAAGACACUCAUUAGAUGUCGCUAGUGUUAAUUUUUUAAUCUAAGAACUUGAUUUUAUAUUUCUCCAAUGAGCAAAAUAUAAGCACAGUUCGUAAAAAGACUCUUUGGAAAAACACUUUUCCUGGUGUUAAUAUAUAUAUUUUGCAUAUUUCAAGAUAUGCAAAUUUGAUCUUCGUAAAAUAUAAGCACAUUCCAACAAAAUUUCAAGAUAAGAAAAACUCGAAUAAUUAUUUUUAAAACUAAUCUUAAAAUCUGCAUAUUUCUUUCAAAAACAUUUCUUAGAUAUAGUUUUAUAUAUACUUUUCUCCAUCAAAAGCUGCAAUGUUAAUCUCAUUAUUGCACUUUUUCCGGGCAUUGUUGACAACAUUAUAUCUCACAUGUUAAUCUCAUUAUUGAGAAGUCACAUGGCUUGAAAAUUCUUAAAGAAAAUUAAAGGAAAAAUGGAAUAAAAGAUGAACCAAAAUGGUGAUGAACUUCCACUAUUGGCAUAGUAAUAACUCCUCAUUCUGUCUUCUUCCCCCCACAUAUUGCCCACACCAGUUCAUACAUUAUAUACAUUUACAUAAUUAAGUUGUAUAAUUAAGGGUAUCAUGUUUUUAAUAUUGAUUUUGGUUAGAUAUUUGUACCAUAUUCUAUAAUUCAUGCUCAUAACCCCACAAAUACGUGGACAUGUAGUAGGAAAUACAAAGCUAAAUUUGGAUUAUUCUUUAUCACAAACUACCAAAAGGUUAUGUUCAAAAACAUCAUAAAAGAAAUGAUUAAAAAUCAAAUAUAUAUCUUCAUUCUUAAACCUCAAAAAGAAAAAGAAUCAAUUAGUGGAACAAAAUCUCACAAUGUUACAAUAGCUACAAUCAAAGGAUUUGAAGAAAUAUCAUAAACCACUUUGGAUCCAUAAUGCAUAAUACUCAAAAUACAAUAUAUAUUCACUUUCCAUUCCCUCUAAAAACAACUUGAAAUUAAAAUGAAAAUAAAUGCAAAAAGCAUUUUGGAGUUACUUUUGUCAAAUGAGGCAACUCAGCUAGGGCUGCUAAGAGGAAAUGACAUAGGAAUAGGACACAACAUUUUACCCUACCCAUCUCUUCUAAUCAUUCAAAAUUUGUCAAGAUGCUUCUAACCAUUUUGCGUAUAUUUUAAUUAGUGGUUGAAGAUUGAAACAGUGACUGAUUCUAACUAUUUGGAGUAAAACAAAGUAAUGGGAGAGAAGUGGCCAGCUGGGAAACAUAAUAUAAUGCAAUUACAUCAAAAUGAAACCAAUUGAAUAUUUGAAUUGGUCCUUCAUGAUGGCUACCCUUUAACAAUUCAAUCACAUUAUAAAUACUUAGUCUCUCAUUUAGCUUUUCACAAUAAUCACUUACACCAAAACAUCUUCUUUUCUUCCAAACUUUUCUUCUACUUCUAAGAAUAUUAGGGAGGUUAAGUAAUAACAUAAGCAUUGGAGGUGCCAAGUUUUUUCUUUCUACCCAUGACUGUUAAGGCCAGUAGCCCCAAAAGGGGUCAUAACUGGCCACCAAUGGCAAUGGCAUUGGCCAUUGUUUUGAUUUCAACUAGUGUGGUUUCUGCUGCUGCAGAUAGUUAUAUUUACUCUUCUCCUCCACCACCUUACGAGUAUAAGUCGCCACCGCCACCAUCACCUUCACCACCACCUCCUUAUGUUUACAAAUCGCCACCUCCUCCAUCCCCAUCACCUCCACCACCUUAUGAGCACAAGGCUCCUGCUUAUGAGUACAAGUCACCACCACCACCAACUCCUUCACCACCACCUCCUUAUGUGUACAAGUCACCACCACCGCCAUCUCCUUCACCACCACCUCCUUAUGUGUACAAGUCACCACCACCACCCUCACCUUCCCCACCACCACCAUACUACUACAAGAGUCCUCCACCACCUUCUCCUUCACCUCCACCUCCUUACUACUACAAAUCUCCUCCACCACCCUCACCUUCCCCACCACCACCAUACUAUUACAAGUCUCCUCCACCACCAUCUCCCUCACCUCCACCACCAUAUUACUACAAGUCUCCCCCACCACCCUCACCCUCCCCUCCACCCCCAUAUAUACACAAGGAUCCACCAUACUAUUACAAGUCCCCACCACCACCUUCACCAUCUCCUCCACCACCAUACUACUACAAAUCUCCCCCACCCCCUUCACCGUCUCCUCCACCACCAUACUACUACAAAUCUCCUCCUCCUCCAUCUCCUAUUCCCAAAACACCUUACUACUACAAAUCUCCCCCACCCCCUUCACCAUCUCCUCCACCACCAUACUACUACAAAUCUCCCCCACCCCCUUCACCGUCUCCUCCACCACCAUACUACUAUAAAUCUCCCCCACCACCGUCACCCUCUCCACCACCACCUUACUAUUACAAGUCUCCUCCCCCACCUUCACCAUCUCCUCCACCACCAUACUACUACAAAUCUCCUCCUCCUCCAUCUCCUAUUCCCCAUACACCUUACUAUUACAAAUCUCCCCCACCACCUUCACCAUCUCCUCCACCACCAUACUACUACAAAUCUCCUCCUCCUCCAUCUCCUAUUCCCCGUACACCUUACUAUUACAAAUCUCCCCCACCACCUUCACCAUCUCCUCCACCACCAUACUACUACAAAUCCCCUCCUCAUCCAUCUCCCAUUCCCCAUACACCUUACUAUUACACAUCUCCCCCACCACCUUCACCGUCUCCUCCACCACCAUAUUACUACAAAUCUCCUCCCCCUCCGUCUCCUAUUCCCCACACACCUUACUACUACAAGUCCCCACCACCACCAAAGGUCCUUCCACCACCAUACUAUUACAAUUCUCCUCCUCCACCUGUUGUGUAUCCUCACCCAUAUCCCUACCACCACUCACUUAUUGUGAGGGUAGUCGGUAAAGUCUACAGCUUCAGAUGUUAUGAUUGGAAUUAUCCUGCAAAGUCUCAUAACAAGAAACAUCUCAAAGGUACAUUACAUUUCUUAGGACCGGACCUCUUUAGAGUAAUGUGUUUAGAGAUAAUGCACAAUUUUUUAUUUUUUUAUCUCGUAAAGGUUUAUUUAUUAUAAUCACAAUUUCACUUUUGUCAAAAAGAAAAACAAUUUUACUAUAUAUAGUUUUAAUCAUUAACAUUUUGAUGUAAAAAGAAUACAAUUCUCUAUUACCUUUUUACUAUGAUAUAUAUACAAAGAUUAUUCAAAUCUAUAUAUCCAACCUAAUUUCCAUCCAAAAAAAUAGAAAACAUAGGGUGCUUUGAACGCCUGCAGCAUCACAUGAAUAAAUAAAAACAAUCAAUAAUCAACCUUGUUCUAAUUUAUUUUAGACAGCGAUUGUUAAGCAUACUGCUCUUUUAAUUACAUUUUUUUUAAAGAUGCUCUUUUAAUUAUAUUGUCCUAAUAUAAUAUGUGUCUUUAUAUAUUACUUGUCGUAAACUAAUUUUAUUAUGGGUGCAGGAGCUGUUGUUGAGGUGACAUGCAAAGCCGGGAGCAAAAUUGUCAAGGCUUAUGGAAAAACUAAGAACAAUGGAAAGUAUGCCAUCACAGUUAAGGACUUUGACUAUGUCAAAUAUGGUUCGACAGUGUGCAAGGCUGCCCUAUAUGCUCCACCUAAGGGUUCACCCUUCAACAUACCUACAAAGCUAAAUCAAGGAACAAAGUUGUACUUGAAAUCCAAAGACAAGUACGAGGUUGUGCUCAAGGCUAAGCCAUUUGCUUAUGCUUCAAAGAAACAUUUCAAAGAAUGUGAGAAGCCUAAGCCUUCACCAACUCCUUACUACUACAAAUCACCUCCACCUCCCUCACCAGUUUACAAAUACAACUCACCACCUCCACCGGUCCAUUAUUAUUCACCUCCAUACACCUACAAGUCACCUCCUCCCCCUGUGAAAGCGGCACCAACUCCUUACUACUACAAAUCACCUCCACCACCCGCACCGGUUUACAAGUACAACUCACCCCCUCCACCGGUCCAUUAUUAUUCACCACCAUAUACCUAUAAGUCACCUCCUCCCCCUGUGAAAGCGGCACCAACUCCUUACUACUACAAAUCACCUCCACCUCCCGCACCGGUUUACAAGUACAACUCCCCACCUCCACCGGUCCAUUAUUAUUCACCUCCAUAUACCUACAAGUCACCUCCUCCCCCUGUGAAAGUGGCACCAACUCCUUACUACUACAAAUCACCUCCACCACCCGCACCGGUUUACAAGUACAACUCACCACCUCCACCGGUCCAUUAUUAUUCUCCACCAUACUACUACAAGUCACCACCCCCACCAUCUCCAUCACCUCCUCCACCAUACUAUUUCAAAUACUAUUACAAGUCCCCACCUCCACCAUCACCAUCCCCUCCUCCACCUUAUUAUUACAAAUCUCCUCCUCCACCAAAACAAAUUUCACACCCUCCAUACUACUAUAAGUCACCACCCCCACCAUCACCAUCACCUCCUCCACCAUACUAUUAUAAGUCUCCACCUCCACCAUCACCAUCUCCCCCACCACCUUAUUAUUAUAAGUCACCACCCCCACCAUCCCCGUCCCCUCCUCCACCAUACUACUACAAGUCUCCACCUCCACCUAAAGAAAUAUCACAUCCUCCAUAUAACUAUAAGUCACCACCCCCACCAUCACCAUCCCCUCCCCCUCCAUACUAUUACAAAUCUCCUCCACCACCAUCACCAUCACCACCACCUCCCUACUAUUACAAAUCACCUCCACCACCAUCACCAUCACCUCCCCCUCCAUACUAUUACAAAUCUCCUCCACCACCAUCACCAUCACCACCACCUCCUUACUAUUACAAAUCACCUCCACCACCAUCCCCAUCACCACCACCUCCAUACUACUACAAAAGUCCCCCUCCACCAUCUCCAUCUCCUCCAUCCCCAUAUUACUACAAAUCUCCACCACCACCAUCACCAUCCCCACCCCCUCCCUACUAUUACAAAUCACCUCCACCUCCCUCACCAUCACCGCCACCUCCUUACUAUUACAAAUCACCUCCACCUCCCUCACCAUCACCGCCACCUCCUUACUAUUACAAAUCUCCCCCACCUCCAUCUCCAUCUCCACCACCUCCUUACCACUAUCAAAGUCCUCCUCCACCAUCUCCCAUUUCUCAUCCUCCCUACUACUACAAAUCCCCUCCACCACCAUCGCCGUCUCCUCCACCUCCUUACCACUAUGUGAGUCCUCCCCCACCAGUAAAGUCACCUCCACCACCAACUUAUAUCUAUGCUUCACCACCACCACCUCACUACAACUAAGCUCAAAGAGCAGAAGCUCCGUUCAUUAUAAAUCAUGUAAGUUUAUCAUCUUCAAUUUUCUGAAUGUGUGCGUGUGUAUUUGUUUUUUUGUUACAAGAUACUAACAAAAUUCUUUUCUUAUUUAUGUUCAGGUUUUAGUUUUCAUCUAGGAAUAAAGGCAAGCUCCAUUUGGAGUAAAGUGAAACUUCUAGCUUCGUGUCCGAAUUCGUUAAAUAAAUGUCGGGAUGUAUCGUCUUUGAGCUAUAAUAUUUCUGAUCCAGACAAUAUCUAUUUUGUUUCUUUGGUGGCAAUCUUGCACUUCCUGGUCUUAGUCUAUUCAAGUGACAGACAAAUCAAAAGGGAGAAGCGAGAUUAAUUUAUUUGUGAUCUCUUUGAUUUAUUUGUGCAUAUAUCAAUAUGAACGUGUAUGAUAUUUUUCUAUUUAUUGAAGAUUUUUUUACUGUAACCUGUUAUUGUGUUUGUCAAAAGGUGUUAAUAAAGAAUCACAUUCAAUUUCUGUUAAAUUAUCAGUAUUUGUUUCUUUCUAACAACUACCAUUCAUGCAAAUGUGGCUAUUAAAAAAAGCUCCAAUGACACAUAAAAAGCUUCCAAACAAUAUAUAAACAAAGAUGCAUUGUUUUCUGUUAAGAAGGGGACAGGGUUACGGUUACUUGUGUACCAAGUUAGUUAUCCAUGCUUUCUUGUUCAUAGGAUUUAUAUGGUGUAGUUGCACUUAGUUGCUAAAUGUAUGCAAGCUUUUCCUUUCUAUAAAUAAGCACACCUACUAUCAUUCUUCUCCACAUUCCUUUCUACUCUUCUAUCAUGAAUUGUUCAUCCACAUAAGAUGGUCACAGAGCACACCUAAUACUCUGCUACUGGUGUAUCAGUUCCUUUCCACCAGAAACUUAUGAUCUCUAAUUGAAAGAGAUCCUAAAGUUUUAAGAUUUCUACAAAAUACAUUAUUCUCAUUUUUGUACAAGUAUGAUACAAUUAUUCCCAAGUAUUAUUUAUUCUAAGGAAUAGAAUUUAGUUGUGGUUUCUCUAUUUAACCAACAUUUAUUUUUAAAUAACUAAAUUUAAAAAAAAAAUCCUGAAAUUAUUAAGUACAUACCUAACACAUUGUAAAAUUUUGUUCCCAAAGAAAAUAUUUUUGGCAAUAGAAUUUUCAGGAACUUCAUUCCUAGGAAUAUAAUUCUAUACUAAGAGAAGAGCUUAAGCAUUGAUACAUAACAAGACCAAUCCAUAUCCUAAUCACAAUCCUACUUUCACUAAAUACUUUCACUUAAGUGUGGUCUUGGAAAGGACAAAUGAAGAAAGACAUUCCAGAGGUAUGGUAAGGGACAAUAUCUGCAGUUAUGCACAUAUUGCAAGAUUGUGAGGAACUACCGGACUGAUUUGAUUCACCAAAAAAUUUGGAAUAAAUAUUUCAGCCCAGAACUCAGACAAUGACUGGAUUGGAACCUUUCAGCUUCUAAUAUCGGUACUGUCCAAGGAAAUAGUCAUUCUCUUUUUGGAGUAGCUGUGAAGGAUUUAUGGAAAGAUAGAACUAAGCUGGUCUUUUCUAGAAACACCGCGAUUGGAACUACUCUAUUUUGGCUUGUAGCCAAUCCGGCUAAGUUUAUUAACAAUGUAGUUUGUACUCAAGCUCACAGUCACGAUGUUGUCAGCAACAGUGGGCAUAUUGUUUAGGUAGCCUGGAAUUUUCCUCCCCAACACUUCUUCAAAGUGAAUAUGAUGGAUCUCUACGGGAUUAUGUUAGUUUCCAGGAUCGAACUCAGAACCUCCUGAUUAUAACUCCUUCAAUGUAUGUCCCUUACCCACGUGGGGCCUCGGCUGUAAUUGUUAACAUGGUAAAAUUUGGCUCUUCCAAUAAUGGUUUUAUCCAAACUCGAGGUUGUUUAUCGUCUCCAACAAUCAGAUUGGAGAAUACUAGUGGUUCAUGCAUUUGAACAAACCAACUGUUGUGCAGAUUUUCUAGUUGAUUUUGUUUUUCCUUUUUUGAGUAUUUUAUUAGCCAAUGAUAUAAGAGGUUGUAGCCUACCUCUUUUGAUUUCUUAAGACAAUCACUUUUGCAUUAGAAAAAAACGACCCUACAUAAAAUUAAUGAUUGAAUUAAGAUAUAACUUCAGUUUGAAAUAUUGUAAAAUUCUAUACCACCAAAAACUGAGAAUUUUAGAACCAUACAGGUUGGUGGAGUGGUCAUCCAGAUAACUUUAACAUAAUUAACAGUCCAAAAAGUAAAUAGCUUUAUCCUUUAUUUUCAAUCUGAUGUGAUUUACUCUUAUCUGUUAAACAUUAUAAUUAAGAAUCCAAAGGGAACACUCACCUAAUCUCUCUCUUUUUUCUAGCUUUUUCACUAAACCACUGUGUCUGUGGUUACCACAUUUCCUUAUGGAAUCAAUAUCCAAUUUAUGUUAAAAACCAUUUCUACAUUUUGUGUUAAAAAUGAUCUAAACAAAGAUGAUUUAUUUCUCUUAAAUUCAACAUAGAUCAUAUUUACAUGGUUCAAACUUUCUAUUACACGGCAUUGACUUAGUUGCUUCACAUGGGGACACAACUAAUGCAUAUAUUAUUUUAUAUGCUUAUAGUAAUUUUAACAAGUGGCAAUGGGGCAUAUGUUUUGUCAAAAAAACACAAAAAACAGGAGGCAUGUGCAACUGAAGUCACUGCCAGCUUGGCACUAAGAUAUAGUAAAAUAAUUGACAUUUGAAGAAAACAAAGACGUUGCUACAUUUCUAUUCAAACAAGCGACAUCAAUAUCAGACAAUGGUGCUACAUUUAAUAAUACUACAGCUAUCCCCAUAAGCACCUCUUAGAAAGAAAAAAAAAUAUCCAUUAAAUUAAUGUUGGAAGAGUUAGCAACAUGUCCUCUCCCAAAAAAACUCAUGUUUGAUUCCUAGAGUCGUCCAUUUCGAAAGAAGCUCAACCCUGAUAAUAAAAACCUAGAUGUUAUGCUGCAGACUUAAAGAUCAAUUUCAUAAUGGAUCCAAAGGGCCUAAGCUGUGUGGGAUACUUAAGGGGGUAUAUUGAGGCUAAGGGUCAAAGAUCUUAAUUAUGGUCGGUUAAAAAAAGAAGAAAAAAAAAUUAUCUCUAAAUAUAAAGUCAACAAUAUUUCAAAUUGCAAGAUACAUUUAUUUAUUUUUUAAAUAUGUAUAUACCUCUUAUUAAUACUUACUAAUUUGUUUUGAGUGAUAAAAAGUUACGAGUUAGACAGAUCAGCACAUAAAAAAAGUAUUUGAAAAACAUCUACCAACAAAAUAAACACAUUAAAAACAAUACUACUUUUUUACAAUACUGUAUGUGAAAAUGACAAAAUCUUGAAAAAGAUGGAGGUAACAUGUACUCUUUUUUUUUUAGAGGGGAGCAUGUACUUUUCCACUAACAAUGUUGAUAAGAAACAUAUAAAAUACUAUUAGAGAAAGAAAAAAAAUAAUAAAUAAAGAAAUAUAUAAAAUACUGAGGAAUGACUCACUCAUGUCAAAUUUUAGCAAGGGAGAAGUGAUAUCACAUCAUUUUAGAAGAGGAAUGAGAAUAGAUAGAUCUAAUUUUUCUAGUAAGUUUGAAUAGUAGAAUCAUACUUCUUUGUCUUUUGUGAAAAUUUCAUAUUAUGGGAUCUAUUACUAGAAUACAGGUGAUUUUAUUCUGGAAGAUUGACUUUUUAUUAAAAUAAAAUAAAAGUACAUUUUUUAUUUCCAAAUGCUUAGUUGUUCAUUUAUAAAUAUUACAUUAUCCAACAGCACCAAACCCUAUUUCAUAACGGUACUCUGCACGUUUCAUUCAUUUACUGGUGCCUUAGUUUUUUGUUACAAACAGACAUUGAUCAGAGGAACAAAUGUAGAGACAAAUUGAAGAUAAUAUAUCACAUAAUAUUGUAGACACACCUUCACAUACAAAUGGGGUAAAGUCCCUCAUAGUAGUAUUAGAAAUAACACUUAGAGUAAAAUUUUGCUAAAUUUAACAUGAAAAUAAGUGUAAUGUAUUUUAUAGGCAGCUAUACAUAAUUAUUAAUUAGAACAAUUUUUUACACUGUCAAACAAAAAUUGAACAAUUUUUUACUAGCUUUAUGCUUUAUGAUGUUUUGAUUCCAUGUGCACAUUUCAAUUUUAGAACUAUUCCUUUCUAUGUUACUGAAAUAAUUCUAUCAUUAGGCAUUGACAUUUCCAUUAUGCGUGCACGUUAAAGUGUUUUCCCAAACAGAGAAAUAUUAAGAAAGGUUAAACUUUUGACUUAAAGACACAACUAAAAUAAGAUCCAAGGAAAACCCCAUUGAUUAUUUCUUGCACAAAAUUAAAAACCCCAUUGAUUAUUUCUUGCACAAAAUUAAAAUGCUAAUAAUUUUUCCUGGUCUAUAUUUUUCUCCUUCCGGGAAAUGGCAACAUCACAUGUUCAUCUCAUAAUUGAGAAAACACAUGUCUGGGAAAAUAUCUUAAAGAAAAGGCAGUAAAGUAAUAAAAAGUGCACCAAAUAGAGAUUAACUAGUACUCUUUGCAUGUCAACUAAGUGGUAUAAUUAUGUAUAUCACAUUCUUAAUAUUGAUUAUCUUGAUUGCACGAUAAGCCCCUCAAAUUGCUCAAUCGAUGAUUGCUUGAUAAGCCCAUCAAAUUGCCCAAUCGAUCGAAUCGUAACUUUCGAUAGACAUUUUUUUUAAGAAAACCCAAUUGGAUCAUAACUCCCCAUAGUCAUUUAUUUGAAAUUGUGAGCAAUUUGAUAACUUAUUGAGCAAUCACCAUUGAUUUUAGUCUCAAUUUAUCCUAAUGUUGUAACCCUGGAAUAAUGGAACAGUGAGUAAAUUUGGUUUCUCCGUCUCAAAAUAAGUGUCACAAUUUAACCAUGUGCACUACUCAUCAAAUCUACUUUGACAACAUUUUUUUUACUAAUAUAUAAAGACAAUGUUAGUACAUUACAUGUUCGAUUUGUCUUAGUUAAUGUUUUUAAAAUAUCGACUUUAUUAUAAUUUUUCUUAAUAGACAAUCAAAAAUAUCAAUUGUCAAAAUUGUGUAUUGAUAUGUAUGAAAAUCAAACUAUAACACUUACUUUGAGACGAAGAGAAUAACUAUUAAAAACUAAUGUUCAAAUAGAAAGAAAAGAAAACAAAGAUUCCAUACAAAGCUUGCAAAAUAGCUACAAUCAUAACCUAGAACAAAAAUCAUGACCACACACUAUAUCCAUUUUCCUUUUCCUAAAAAGCAAUUGAAGAUAAAAAAAAAAAAAAUAAUAAAUAAAAAAAAAAAAAAAAAAAAAAAAAANACCACCAUACUACUACAAAUCCCCACCUCCACCAUCGCCUUCUCCUCCACCACCAUACUACUACAAAUCCCCACCUCCACCAUCGCCUUCUCCUCCACCACCAUACUACUACAAAUCCCCACCUCCACCAUCGCCUUCUCCUCCACCACCAUACUACUACAAAUCCCCACCUCCACCAUCGCCUUCUCCUCCACCACCAUACUACUACAAAUCCCCACCUCCACCAUCGCCUUCUCCUCCACCACCAUACUACUACAAAUCCCCACCUCCACCAUCGCCUUCUCCUCCACCACCAUACUACUACAAAUCCCCACCUCCACCAUCGCCUUCUCCUCCACCACCAUACUACUACAAAUCCCCACCUCCACCAUCGCCUUCUCCUCCACCACCAUACUACUACAAAUCCCCACCUCCACCAUCGCCUUCUCCUCCACCACCAUACUACUACAAAUCCCCACCUCCACCAUCGCCUUCUCCUCCACCACCAUACUACUACAAAUCCCCACCUCCACCAUCGCCUUCUCCUCCACCACCAUACUACUACAAAUCCCCACCUCCACCAUCGCCUUCUCCUCCACCACCAUACUACUACAAAUCCCCACCUCCACCAUCGCCUUCUCCUCCACCACCAUACUACUACAAAUCCCCACCUCCACCAUCGCCUUCUCCUCCACCACCAUACUACUACAAAUCCCCACCUCCACCAUCGCCUUCUCCUCCACCACCAUACUACUACAAAUCCCCACCUCCACCAUCGCCUUCUCCUCCACCACCAUACUACUACAAAUCCCCACCUCCACCAUCGCCUUCUCCUCCACCACCAUACUACUACAAAUCCCCACCUCCACCAUCGCCUUCUCCUCCACCACCAUACUACUACAAAUCCCCACCUCCACCAUCGCCUUCUCCUCCACCACCAUACUACUACAAAUCCCCACCUCCACCAUCGCCUUCUCCUCCACCACCAUACUACUACAAAUCCCCACCUCCACCAUCGCCUUCUCCUCCACCACCAUACUACUACAAAUCCCCACCUCCACCAUCGCCUUCUCCUCCACCACCAUACUACUACAAAUCCCCACCUCCACCAUCGCCUUCUCCUCCACCACCAUACUACUACAAAUCCCCACCUCCACCAUCGCCUUCUCCUCCACCACCAUACUACUACAAAUCCCCACCUCCACCAUCGCCUUCUCCUCCACCACCAUACUACUACAAAUCCCCACCUCCACCAUCGCCUUCUCCUCCACCACCAUACUACUACAAAUCCCCACCUCCACCAUCGCCUUCUCCUCCACCACCAUACUACUACAAAUCCCCACCUCCACCAUCGCCUUCUCCUCCACCACCAUACUACUACAAAUCCCCACCUCCACCAUCGCCUUCUCCUCCCCCACCUUACUAUUACAAAUCCCCACCGCCACCUUCACCAUCUCCCCCACCACCCUACUACUAUAAAUCACCCCCACCACCUUCACCAUCUCCUCCACCACCAUACUACUACAAAUCACCCCCACCGCCAUAUGAACACAAGACUAAACCAUACUAUUACAAGUCUCCUCCACCACCAUAUGAACACAAGACUAAACCAUACUAUUACAAGUCCCCACCACCACCUUCACCAUCUCCUCCACCACCAUACUAUUACAAGUCCCCACCACCACCUUCACCGUCUCCACCCCCACCAUACUACUACAAAUCACCUCCUCCUCCAUCACCUAUUCCCCAUACACCUUACUACUACAAGUCCCCACCACCACCUAAGGUUCUUCCACCACCAUACUAUUACAACUCUCCUCCUCCACCUGUUGUGUAUCAUCACCCUCAUCCCUACCACCAUGCAUUGAUCGUGAAGGUAGUGG